RNAcentral lists this long non-coding RNA (2292 nucleotides) under Sus scrofa (pig). RNAcentral's name for it is "lncRNA (ENSSSCG00050067253.1)". Lineage: Eukaryota; Metazoa; Chordata; Mammalia; Artiodactyla; Suidae. The record is from RNAcentral.
GACUCAUCUCUGGGAUGACCUAACCUCCCCAACCUGGCAGAGCAGCUGUCCGGACUCAGCCCUCAUACCGUGACUGUGGACGUCUAGUGUGCCCCCUUCUGAUUAUAAACUGGCUCUGCUCCUGACUAUGGAAGGAAGAGAAGGAGGACGGCUCCUAGACACAGCUGGCAGGCUUCGUGGUUAAAGUAGAAUCUAUUCACUUGCAUUCUUUCGUAUUCGUGAAGUUGGUAAGGCAUCAUCAGCCUGGUGGGAUUUCACUCCACAUCAGAUUUCUACUUCUACUUUCCUUUCUUCUGUUUUGCUGUCUCUGCACAGCCAGCACAAUGCAUUUUGGCAGCAACUCCCAAACAAAUAAGGCUUUCCUGUGUGCACAGGGAGGAACGGUUACUAGUCAGUGUGGGCCAACUGGGACCAUACGCAUGUGGUUAAGGAUAACCAGUCAGUGAUGCCUUUAGUGAGUAAUCACUUUGAACUUUAAGGUGGGACUGUGUAAAGGCCCACAAGCAGAAGUUCAACUGGUAGAGACAGCCCAGUCAUUAGGGGUGUUGCUGAUAAUUCAGAGAAUUAAGGUAACUCUAGUGCGAAGUGAAGUAGUUUUCCUUGGCCUUUAGAAUGUAGCUGUAAUCCCGAGUGUCUCAACCUCAGCACUGUUGACAUUUGGGACUAGAUUCUUGUUGUUGUUGUUGUUGCUGUGGAGCUGUCCUGUGCAUUGCAGGGUGUUUAGCAGUACCCUGGCCUCUGUGACUAUAUGCCAGUGGCAUUCCCUCAGGCAUGAUAAUGAGCAAUGUCUCCAGCCCUCCAAGAACAAAGGCACUUCCUGCCACUAUCCUGUGUGCAGUGAGGCCACAGGGAUGAGAUCUUGUAGGGAUGAGAUUUCUUUCUCUAUGUCACCGUUCCCCUCUCUCUUUCUCUCACUUGACAACCAGUUAAGUCUGCACUAAUAUAGAUAGUAUCAGCCCCUGCAGAAGUCUCGGGCCACGCUGUCAAACAAGAGCAAAUUAAGAGCAAGAAGUUAAGAUGAAGCACUAAUCUAGCCAAAGUGUGACUGAAAGUAAAAGAAAGCUAGAACCUGAUGGAAUUGUGGAAAGAAGAAAAAAGGUGGAGGCUGUAACUACUGAUGCAAAAGCCUGAAACCUUUUCUCUGCUUCUCCAGAGCCGUCCUGGAAGACAUGGGUGUCCAGUGGGCUGCUUGAAGCCAUGCAGCGCAGCAGGACUGUGGGGAUGGGCCCUUCGAUGACCUCGCCCUUUGAAAGACCACCAAUUUCCAGCCCUCCGAGCAGUAUUCUGAUUAUGAACUUGUUUUCCUUCUUCUAUUUAAGAGGUUUGGGGACCUUAGAUCUCAGAGCACAGGUAUCUGGAGAGUGUGGAGUCAGAAAAACAGCAAGAGGAAUGAAUAUCCAGGUAGGUCAGCCGGCCAGAGACAGGGUGGAGAGGCUGGGAGGAGGUGAAUGGGGAGACACUAGCAGGCAUGUGGUUGCGAGUGAAUAGAUUCUGUGGAUGUGGGUUCCCAGCAGGGUUGGCAGAGACGUGGUGCGGUCAGGCAGAUUAUGGAGCAGCGUAUCAGGCAAAGAGGGAGAUAAGACAGAGCCUUGUUUCCCAAAGAUUGAGGGAAGGUGACACUGUGGUCAGCUUACGUCUACUCCUGUGUAUUGUCAGUAUACCUCAUUUCCAAAAUUGUAAGCUUCAUGAGCACAAGGACAAGUUCCCAUCAGUCUCAGUAGUCAGCACCUACUUUGUGGGGAAGCAGUCAAACGUUUGCUAAUUAAGGAGAGAAAACACAACUGGGACAUUGUUGCAUUUAUCCAGCUGUGAGGUUCACAGAGAAGUCACCCUGUCUAUCCAGCCUGCCUUUCCUAGAGCAAUGCAAUUUCCAUGUGGGAUGGCUGCGAUCUAGGAGUGACCCAAGCCCCAUUGGGCUUUGUUUUUGAAGCUGAUAUGAUAUACACUGUGACAGAGACAAAGACAGAAAGACACACGGACAGAGCGAGAGAUUUCUCGUGGGGCCCUCACGUAUUGCUGUACCCUUUCUCUUCCUCCUGAUUUGCGGCCACAGCUGUGUUUGGCUGUGCCGGGUACUUUCUGUCAUUCUGCCUUUGGCAGCAUGUUGGUCUUCGAGCUUGGGUGAGGGAACCAUUCCUGGUUUCUGAACACCAUCUUGCAGGUUGGCUGGGAUUCUGUUUCUUGUCUGGAAUGGUUUGAUUCCACCUGCACACUUGCCUGCCUCUGCCAAGGGAGGCUCUACCUAAGACAGCAGACAGGUCCUUUAAAACUUUCCAUGGUGAAAAAAAAAAA